UCAGUAACGGCGAGUGAAGCGGUAACAGCUCAAAUUUGAAAUCUGGCCUCACGGUCCGAGUUGUAAUUUGUAGAGGAUGCUUCGAGCAUGGUCUGGCCUAAGUUCCUUGGAACAGGACGUCAUAGAGGGUGAGAAUCCCGUAUGCGGCCAGGUGCCUACGCUCAUGUGAAGCUCCUUCGACGAGUCGAGUUGUUUGGGAAUGCAGCUCAAAAUGGGUGGUAAAUUUCAUCUAAAGCUAAAUAUUGGCCAGAGACCGAUAGCGCACAAGUAGAGUGAUCGAAAGAUGAAAAGCACUUUGGAAAGAGAGUUAAACAGUACGUGAAAUUGUUGAAAGGGAAGCGCUUGCAACCAGACUUGCGCGCGGCUGAUCAUCCGGUGUUCUCACCGGUGCACUCGGCCGUGCUCAGGCCAGCAUCGGUUUUGGCGGCUGGAUAAAGGCCCUAGGAAUGUGGCUCCUCUCGGGGAGUGUUAUAGCCUAGGGUGCAAUGCAGCCUGCUGGGACCGAGGACCGCGCUUCGGCUAGGAUGCUGGCGUAAUGGUUGUAAGCGGCCCGUCUUGAAACACGGACCAAGGAGUCUAACAUCUAUGCGAGUGUUUGGGUGUCAAACCCAUACGCGUAAUGAAAGUGAACGGAGGUGAGAACCCUUAAGGGUGCAUCAUCGACCGAUCCUGAUGUCUUCGGAAGGAUUUGAGUAAGAGCAUAGCUGUUGGGACCCGAAAGAUGGUGAA
RNAcentral lists this ribosomal RNA (729 nucleotides) under Pseudogymnoascus sp. RNAcentral's name for it is "partial large subunit ribosomal RNA". It matches the Rfam family "Eukaryotic large subunit ribosomal RNA", at positions 80 to 830 of the family's 3401-position model. Lineage: Eukaryota; Fungi; Ascomycota; Leotiomycetes; Thelebolales; Thelebolaceae. The record is from RNAcentral.